Molecule: long non-coding RNA, 245 nt
Organism: Erigeron canadensis
Lineage: Eukaryota; Viridiplantae; Streptophyta; Magnoliopsida; Asterales; Asteraceae
Exons: 3
Source: RefSeq, a predicted model, not a curated record
AUUUCCGAUCUCCCAACCGUCCAGGAAGAAGGUUCCUCACAGUAACAGAUAUUCCACACUCUUCAGUUGGAUGUUUAGAUUCAAGGCAACAUGAAGCAACCAACAUGGAGGAGCAAAUAUUGAAGCUUUUGAUUAAAGGGCAACAUUAAAGACAUGGCUGUGGCAAGAUACCAAAUGCCACUUCUUCGCGAGAUUGAGGGUCCCUUGAAGUUUAAAUGUGAUUAACUAGCUGAUGCUAUUAUAGA